GUGGCCUGACAGAAAGAAGUAUUGGCCACACACUACUGUGGUAUGUGAACUUGCAGAGCUGGAAGGCAUUGCUGCUCACAUCCACGACCCACUCCACUCUCGAGGAUCUGCACUUUCUUUUUAAUGAGGCAAUGAGGCUGUGGGAAUCUCAGGCAUGAAACAUUUGUGGGAUAAUGGGCUGAAUGUUGCGCAUUUCCAACCACAUGCUAGGUGCCUCAUCUGUCAUAUCCAAAGCAAAGGAACUGGUCAAGGGGGCAAGUGAAGGAGUCCAUCACACUGGAGAGCAGGCAUGCUGCUCACUCUCCCAGGGGCAGGAGCAGCUCAAGUUGUGAUUGUGCCUACACUUGGUCAUGGAGUAUAUCUUCAGGAAUGUUCAUUGGAAGGAGGAAUGAAGAAGAAAUUGACCCGUCCAUUUUCUCUUGCCUCUCUUUGGCCAAGAUGGCACUAUGAGGAAUUAACUACCUUGCAUUCCAGCUUGCUGCUGCAUUUGUGCAGGAAAUAUUAAGCUUGCUGAUGAGAAAGGAGAAGAAGUAGAGAAAACAACGUACAGUUAGGCCUAUAGGAAUCUGCCGAGGGGAACUGACAAGCCCUGCUCAGUCUUGCCCACUGUCUGCUUGGAGGAUCAGGAUGAGUUUGUUUACUUGAGACUACAUAGGAGUCAAGAACACAUUAAUCCUGUGAUGAAUGGACACCUUGCCUCUUCUUAUCCUUGGCCUCCUUAUGAAACUACCACCAUCUUGUUAAUUUGGGAAGUUUGUUGCUUUAUCAUUUCUUACUAUUGAGAAAUCUAAAUGGCAUAACAUUGUAAUACAAUUGUAAUCUUUACAUUCCCUUAAAUAUAUCUGGAGCAAUUUUCCAUUUUAUUACAUAAUCUUCUACAGUACAAUUUUAAUAAAAC
Molecule: long non-coding RNA, 898 nt
Filed under: Equus asinus (donkey)
Lineage: Eukaryota; Metazoa; Chordata; Mammalia; Perissodactyla; Equidae
Description: lncRNA (ENSEASG00005034620.1)
Source: RNAcentral